This is a non-coding RNA of Salvelinus sp. IW2-2015, 237 nucleotides long. NCBI's taxonomy places the organism in Eukaryota, Metazoa, Chordata, Actinopteri, Salmoniformes, Salmonidae. The record is from RefSeq and is a predicted model, not a curated record.
CAGACACUCUGUCAGUGCCUCGCUGGUCCCCACAGAUCCCUCGGAGAGACCUGGGAAACUCCAUAAAACACAGGUUUUCCACCAAGUACUGGAUGUCUCAGACAUGCAUAGUGUGUGGAAAAGGAAUGUUGUUUGGACUUAAAUGUAAAAACUGCAAGCUGAAGUGCCACAACAAAUGUACCAAAGAAGCCCCACCUUGCCAUUUACUGAUCAUCCAAAGAGGAGGAGGAAGUAACC